This 107-nucleotide small nuclear RNA is filed under the name Piliocolobus tephrosceles (Ugandan red Colobus). Lineage: Eukaryota; Metazoa; Chordata; Mammalia; Primates; Cercopithecidae. The record is from RNAcentral.
GUGCUCACUUCGGCAGCACAUACACUAAAAUUGGAAUGAUACGGAGAAGUUUAGUAUGGCCCCUGCACCAGCAUGACAUGCAAAUUCGUGAAGCAUUCCAUAUUUUU